CCUGGAAUAUUGCUUCCUUCAACUGUCCUGUAUGGACCAAAUCAUCUCAUAGGAAGUCUGAAGAAUAGAGAGCAGAGGAAGAGGAGAAAAGGAUACAGAGAGCUGUUCUGCAGAGCACCCUGCUGAGUGCCUGUCUUGUCUCCCUUCGAAGAAAGGAUUGUAAUUUUCCAUUGAUUCUUCCGAAGCUGGACAAUAGAGUAUCGUGUAUGGGCCAAUGAUACUGCAGCGAAAAUGAUCUGGGCCACACCUAGGAUUUACAGGGUGGGAGGACAUCGCUACAACAAACUUUGACUAUGGCAAAAUGAGAGCUUUGUUAGUUCCAGAUAUUCUAUUUGUUGAUAAAUGAAUGUGAGUUCAAAGGGAAAAAAAUAACAGAGUUGCGGUAGAGACAUUACUUUUGCAACAAACUAUCAUAUCUGAUAUUCUAAUGCAUCAAUGACACUAAGAGACUGACUUCAUAUGACUGACCAUAUUCCAAGACAUAUUUAAGUAUACUUUAAGAGGAUACUCUUUUACUCUUUUUGAAGAGGAUAUAAAUGUUUACAGCACUUCAGUCAGAAGUGUGAAGUAAGAUUUAGUUGUGAGGUGACCUUGUAACCUCUAAACUUUCAGUAAUUUCAUGGCUUUCUUCAGUCUUGCACAGAUGCAUUUGUGGUCUGCGACUCACAUACUAUAUUUUGACUCUUAAUUCUAUUUUCUUUUCUCGUCUUAAUGCAUCACUCUCCCUUUCCCCCAUUUUCUGUUCUUUCAAUUUGAAUCUUCUACUCCACCUAAUUGUCAGUACCUCCAGGGAAGGAAUUGAACAAAACAUUCCAAUGCUUUCUCACGCUCUCAUCUCUUUCCUUAUAGCUCACACAGCCGAGCACAAAGUUUGCCAUUAUAUGUUGUGUCCCACAGUAAAAAGAAAAUCACAGUGAUUAAUGAGUAUGACAUGGCUAAGCUUCUGAUAGUCAGUGAAUGCUUCAUAUGCGUCAGCUGGUGCUUGAAUGAGUAAAUGGCUGCUGUUUAUGAUCGUUUGUCUACAGAGACAUGUCUUAUAUUGUAUUGUGCAGGUGUUAAUACAUACAAUACAAUACUUAUAUUGUACAAGUGUAAAUAGGUGUCUCUGAGUCAGGUAUGAUCUGAGAAGGGGAACUGUAGGUUUUUGGUGUGUCAUGUUUGUCUGUUGCCCUUCCCAUGGUGGAGUCAGUUGGGAUUUAGAGAGUGCCUGAAUGACGAUUUCAAGUUUUUUUUAUACAAAACAGAAUACAAGCAUCUGACUGCAUAAUCGAUAUAAUAUACAGCAAUGGGUUGUGCCAUUUGCACACAGUUGAUAGAUAUGUGGAGUGUGUCUGGGUCACAAAGAGCCCAGACAUCAAUGGACAUGUCCAAUUUACAGGUCUCUCAGCAGGACUACCACAGACUGUCAGGCCUCCACUAUACGUCCUCUUUCUCUGAUGCCGAGGACUGCUGCGAUGACAUCACAAGCUCCUCCUCCUCAGACUAUCUUGGAAUAGAAUGUUAAUGUUUGGUUUGGUUUGGUUUUAGACUCUUGCAGGUUAUUGACACCUUGUGCCAAAAAUUGCCAUUGUUCUCUUUGGCUCCAAAUUGUGUAAAAGGACGAGAUUUAUUCUGUUUCUGCUCAAUAUGGGCGACAAAGCCCACAUUGCCAGAGAAUGAAGACAUGAAUGUAAUAAUACAGCAGUGGAAACUGGACCUUAAUCAUUUAACUGUAUAAUGAUGAUGAAAAUGAUCAAUACCAUUCAGUUAGAAGUAUAAAUGUACAUUCUGUACACACGCGUUCGCGUUGUUUCUCUUGGGAGGAACAAACCCAUUACCAAUGAAAGUUUUGAUAAAAUGAUGAUAAGUGCUCUGAUAUUGUGUACUGGUAUGACUAAAUACUGAAAGAAAUAAAACUGCAAAUACAUGAUUCUUCAAUUAUUAUUCUUAUAGCAUCCUUUAAGAAAAGGUUUUUAAAGAGUUGUUGAAACAGUAUUGCUUCAGCCAUUGUAGAGUCUAGUCUCAUGAGACCACAUGAGAUUAAUAGUAAUUAAUUCACAUGUUAAUCCACUGAUAAUGUAAUUAACAACUGGAGCACAUCAAGACAUGUGUUGCUGAAGUUAAUUGAAUUCAUCAACUAAAUUAAAGCAUUUCAGAUAAAAAAAAAAAAAUGAUCAGUUUGCAGUUUUAAUGUUUUUGCAUCCUAUACCAAAGAUCACUUAUGAAACGAAGAACACUGCUUGACAGGAUUUUAAGGUUGUUUUAAGAUCAUCACCAUAGUGAUCACCAUUCACAUAUUUUGCAAGGAAUAGUCACUGUUAACAAAGUAGAACAUCCCGAUCCACUUACAGAUUUGCUGUAAUCCACACAAAUAAAUGCAUAAUUUGAAAUUGUAAAUGACUGUGAUUUGUUACACUGUAUGCAGAAAGGUAAAGUAACAGGUGCAUAUUGGGAAAUUUUGUUUAAAAUACUAGCAUUGCAAAAUCUAA
Molecule: long non-coding RNA, 2468 nt
Organism: Xyrauchen texanus (razorback sucker)
Lineage: Eukaryota; Metazoa; Chordata; Actinopteri; Cypriniformes; Catostomidae
Exons: 3
Source: RefSeq, a predicted model, not a curated record